ACACUCCACAAGCCUCUAUAGCACACGCACAGGUCUACAAGAACCAAACACAAGUCCAGGUGAGUACAAUAAACACGCAGCCCUUUUGUAAAUUUUUCUCUACGCUUAAACAAAAAGCCAAAUCUUCCCUGCAUCACACCACGCCUCUUCACCAGCUUCGACCAUCAGUCCUGAACAUCCCCAAUCUCGCCAAUGGUCACGUUUUAUGUAAUUUCGAAAGAAUAGGAAAGAAACCAAGUGAAAACAAGUCAAAAAGAGGCCAAAUUGAAGAAAUGAGAAAAGAGGCUAAAAGGGCAAAAACGGCCUAGAUCUGCAAAACUGAAUAUUUGGGGCAGUUUUGGUCAUAUUUUGAUGUGAAAAAAUUGGGGAGCUAUAAGAGCAUGACUUAAGGAGCAAUUAUUCUCAUCUUUGGUUACAUUUCAAGCUUGGAAGCUAGGGUUCAUCAUCAACCACGAGGAGAAGAUUGGAGCACUUUAAUGAGAAAUUUCUUAACCCUUUCUUCAAUUUCUUGCUUUGUAUUGUAUAUCUAAGUGUGUAGAAUUUUAUUUCAACACUUUAGGAAUAUCUAAGUGUGUAGAAUUUUAUUUCAACACUUGGGGCUUUAAACCCAAUCUAAUAAUUUGAGCUAGGAAUAGGAAAGUUAACUUGAGAUUCAAUUAGUAGUGCUAAUAUCACACUAUAAUGCUUGAAAAAGUUUAGAGUGAAAUUCAUUGAUUUAGUUGGAAGACUUUUAUUGAGAUUUUAGAAAUCAUUAUCUAUUAACAUAAA
Long non-coding RNA from Lycium barbarum (goji berry), 768 nucleotides. RefSeq lists it as uncharacterized. NCBI's taxonomy places the organism in Eukaryota, Viridiplantae, Streptophyta, Magnoliopsida, Solanales, Solanaceae. The record is from RefSeq and is a predicted model, not a curated record. The transcript is spliced from 2 exons.